GACGAACGCUGGCGGCGUGCCUAAUACAUGCAAGUAGAACGCAGUUGCGAACGGGUGAGUAACGCGUAGGUAACUGCCUCAUAGAGGGGGAUAACUAUUGGAAACGAUAGCUAAUACCGCAUACUGUGAGCUGGACCUGCGUUGUAUUUGCUAGUUGGUUAGGUAAAGGCUCACCAAGGCGACGCUACAUAGCCGACCUGGGGGGGUGAUCGGGCACACUUGGACUGGGGAACGGCCCAGACCUCUACGGGAGGGAGCAAUUGGGAAUCUUCGGCAAUGGGCCGAAGGCUUGCCAGACAAACGCGGGGUGGUGAAGAAGGUUUUCGGAUCGUAAAGCUCUGUUGAUAGAGAAGCGGUAACUAACCAGAAAGCGACGGCUAACUACGUGCCAGCAGCCGCGGUAAUAC
RNAcentral lists this ribosomal RNA (407 nucleotides) under uncultured bacterium. Its description in RNAcentral is "partial 16S ribosomal RNA". It matches the Rfam family "Bacterial small subunit ribosomal RNA", at positions 28 to 526 of the family's 1533-position model. The record is from RNAcentral.